RNAcentral lists this ribosomal RNA (240 nucleotides) under Triticum aestivum (bread wheat). RNAcentral's name for it is "partial small subunit ribosomal RNA". The record is from RNAcentral. Lineage: Eukaryota; Viridiplantae; Streptophyta; Magnoliopsida; Poales; Poaceae.
AUGGCAGGUUUGGUUUUUGCAGGACUCGAGGAGGUGACCACGGCGUGCUGCGGCUCCGGCAAGUUCGACGGCAAGUCGGGUUGCACGCCCAACGCCACGCUGUGCGACAGCCGGCACAAGUACCUCUUCUGGGACCUGCUGCACGCCACGUCCAAGCUCGCCGCCGCGGCCAUCUACAACGGCUCGCCGCACUUGGCAGCGCCCAUAAAUUUCAGGCAGCUAGCGGAGGACCAGUGCUAG